Molecule: transfer RNA, 72 nt
Filed under: Eubacteriales bacterium
Lineage: Bacteria; Bacillati; Bacillota; Clostridia; Eubacteriales
Description: tRNA-Arg
Rfam family: tRNA
About the family: Transfer RNA (tRNA) molecules are approximately 80 nucleotides in length. Their secondary structure includes four short double-helical elements and three loops (D, anti-codon, and T loops).
Source: RNAcentral
GUCUCAUUCGUCUAACGGAAAGGACAGGGGACUUCUAAUCCCCCGGUACGGGUUCGAAUCCUGUAUGAGACA